UCUCUGGUGGCUCAGCUGGUAAAGAAUCUGCCUGCAAUGCAGGAGACCCAGGUUCAACUCCUGGGUUGGGAA
Transfer RNA from Ovis aries (sheep), 72 nucleotides. It matches the Rfam family "tRNA". From Rfam's summary of the family: Transfer RNA (tRNA) molecules are approximately 80 nucleotides in length. Their secondary structure includes four short double-helical elements and three loops (D, anti-codon, and T loops). Lineage: Eukaryota; Metazoa; Chordata; Mammalia; Artiodactyla; Bovidae. The record is from Rfam.